UUUUAACUAAAGGGACUUGUUUUCAAAUAUUUCAUAUUUAAAAGAAAAGGUUAGUUUGUAAUUUAUUUUACACAAAGGGACUAUUUUUGAUCUUUUAAAAUUGUUUAGGGACUAUUUUUGAAAAGACUAAAUCACAUGGGAGUAGGUUUGUAAGGGUUUUAUCAAAUGGCUGAUUUUAAGUUUUGGCUAUACAAUUGCAGGGACUGAUUUCGACAACUUCAUCAAGUAUACAAAGGGGUCGACGCAUCAUCUUCUUCAUCUGUUUUGGGGAUCGGGAGGAACGAACGAAUCGGAAGCGAUGAAGGAGUUCCAAUGGUGGUCAUUCAAAUCGCGAGGAGGGACGGGGAGGUCGAUCUCCGGUGAGUCCUUCGUCGUCUUCUCCACAGAUCAAGGAAGGGGAAAGGAUCGAACGGUUGAAGAAGCAAACUGAGGUGGUUCGGUGAUGGUUGUCGUCAACAGCUGUGAUUGCGAGGGGGCUGUUCCGGUGAUGAACCGUAGCAGCGAUCAGUCUCCGACGAGCCUUCCUUGGUGCGUUUGGUUCGUCGGCAGCCACAGCUCGAGAAAAGGAAAGCACAUCGACAUUCAGGGGGCUUGGGUGGUUCCAAUCGAAGAAACUGGCGAAGGGCGAAGGAUAGAUGGAAGGAGGUGAUGAAGGUGGUGGUUUGCGAUGCCGAAAAUGGUAAGCCGAGGGCGGCAGUAGGCGUCUCCGGAGAUCCUCGUGUUUCUUCUUUUCUGGCCCGAUCGACAAUCACGAUGUUUCCCCAUUGCUUUGGCAGUUCCGAUCAACAAUAGGUAAGAAGUUUCUUUUGGGAUUUUGUUUGUUUUAACAGGAAUCUAUGGAAUGAACAAAAUGGUUGUUUGGGUUUGCUUUUGACAGAAAUUGAUAUAGGAGAAGGAUGUUUGGGUUUGAGCUUCUUUGACUGGAGGAGGGGCUGCUGCUCCUUAGCUCACCGGGAAACCACAAGAAAACCACCUCCAAUGGAGGUGCUCUUGGCUUUGCAUAGAAACAGAAAGAAGGGAGAGAAAGAGUGAGUUUGUGACUUUCCUAUGUGAUCAAAAGCAGAUAUCUAGAAGUUCUUGAGAUAUUGGAAGUACUUGGAAAUCUCUUGGAGGAUUGUGGAGGUACAUCACUAAUUUGCCCAUGUGUGAGAGGGUUUGUGUUUAUUGUCAUUGAUAUAGUAACGUUUAGUGAUCUAGUUCAGAUUUUCAGUUGACUUUGAUGAUAAACUUGUGUACAACAAGUUUUGGGAAUGAUCUUGUGUAGAUUGCAUUGCAUAUUAUUGGCUUUUAUUUGUACAUGUAGGUGUUUUGGUGAUUAAGAAAACUGGUAACAUAAAUGUACCUAGUUAUGUAUUUUGUUGAAUUUCUAUUAGUCUUCAUAUGUAUUAAUAGUUUCCUUAGUCAUAUACAUGUGUGUAUUUAUGUGUGUAUUCGUUUUAGAUUUUGAAGGCAAUAAUGUAUAUUUACAAUACUUAUACACUCCUAUAUCAAGGUUUAGCAUUUAUGAUGGUAAGGCAUAUAAAGAGUUCAGGAUUUGUAUAUAGUAAAUGCCCGAAUUGCCAUAUAUUAUUCAAUUAAUUGGUAUUUGAAAUGAUACAAAACAUAUGAAUAAAUAUGUAUAUAUUUAGUGUUUUAUAGACUUUUAAUUACAUAACAUAUACACAUUGUGUUUAACAUAAUUGUCUAUUUGACAUAUGCAAUAUGGAUUUUAUAAGAGCUUUAGCCACUACAUAUUAUAUUGUUUGAAAAAUACACUCUUCAUACAUAUAUGUAUAUAAAUUUACAUGAUUUUUGAAAUAUUGAACUAUUUUAUCGUUAAGAUUCGUCACCACCGAAUUCGAUUUCCAAACUAUUUUCGACAUGAAUUACCAAUAAUAGAAACUAUGUCGAAGUCAAAAUUUUAAGGUUUCAUGCUCAAUCUGGUACAAUUCUAUGGUUUUCAUGCCACUGAUUCUUGAUUGUAAAUUAGUGCUUAAAAUGAACUCGGAUGAAAAAUCAUAACUCUUUCAGUUCAUAAUAUAUAAAUUUUGAGCAAUUAAUCGUAGUACCGUUUAAACUUAUUUAAUAAACAUUAGCAUAUCGUACAUUUGAUCUAGAUUAUAGCAACACUUACAUUAACUGAUCGUCAAUAAUUGACCCAAUUUUGUCAAUUGUUACACCUAGUUUGUAUUAGUGUAUUUGUAUUCGGGACUUUGUUAUAAUUCCCGAUUAUUUGAGUUUGAAGACUUUUGGUUGUAAUGCUUAAUAAUGUAAAACUACCAAAGUUCUAACUAGACAACAGUCGUAUGUGUCCCUAUAUGAGUUUAUACAGUACGUCGACUAUAAGUGACUAUAUACAUGUUUAGACAGUAUUCCGACUGUAGGUAACCAUAACAAAUGUUUAGACAGUACUCCGACUGUAAGUGACCAUAUAUAUGUUUAGACAGUAUUCCAACUGUAAGUGACCAACAAAGUUUAUACAACACCCCGACUGUGAGUGACCAAAAUCGACAUAGUCCAAAUCAUCUUAUCUUAUGAGGUUGUCAACAUGAUCAUAUUAGAAAUACUUGUUAUAAUUUACACUUUUGUGUUACACCCCCGAAUCAGACGGCGGAAACGUCCGGGGGCUUGUGUAUGACAUCAUCUUGAAAUAUCAUUACAGUGAAUAUAAAUGAAACAUAACAUCAUCAUUACCAUGCAUAAUAUAAUACAACUGUCAUUGUUUACAUCAAGUACAAUCUUUUAAAUAACAUGACCAAAACAUUCAAUGUAUGAUGUUUAACAGUACACAAAACAAAAUCCCCUAUUCUUGUUGAUUCUUCUGCUUAACGAGUCCCUGAGAAUACAAGUUAUUUUGAAAACGUCAACAUAUAUAAUGUUGGUGAGUUCAUAAGGAUAUUUGAUAAAAUGAUUUGUAUAACUUUGUAAUCACAAGAAAAUCAUGUAUUUUCUUAAAAUAGUUUGGUAUGUUAUGUCCGAUCUUGUAUUAAUGCAUGUGUGUUAUUGUUUAAUAGAUUGUCAAAAGCGAUUGAAGAAGGUGUAAAUAGAAUAUCCCCGGACAACCCGAUGUUGCCCGUAAAAGAAGAAUAGUUAAUGUUGUCGUACCAACACCGAGGUGGGGUACCGGUAUGAGUAAGUUACCGAGCAAUCCAAUCAUAAAAGAAAAUAGAUAAUGUUGUCGUACCAACACCGAGGUGGGGUACCAGUGUG
Molecule: long non-coding RNA, 3189 nt
Filed under: Lactuca sativa (garden lettuce)
Lineage: Eukaryota; Viridiplantae; Streptophyta; Magnoliopsida; Asterales; Asteraceae
Description: long non-coding RNA (LSAT_LNC003555)
Source: RNAcentral